CCUCGUAACUGGGAAGUGGUGUGGGCCACUCUUUAUACCUCUGUGCAAAGUAAUCACUUUACCAUAAUCAGAAACAGAAACAGUGAGCACCUGCCAGACUCAAAGACAUUAACUGGAGACAAGGCUCAAGCCUGGGAAUGGCACUAACACUACCUGCUACACCACUAUGCUUCAAGGAACUGAAAUAACUGUUCUUUUAAUAGUAAAAUGUAAGGAUUAAGAUGUUUGUGAAUUGUUUUGACAUUGGUGCCAUAGAAAAUGAAACAUUUGAUUCCCAGGUGGAGCGAUCUGGGUCCUUUCUGUGUCGAGUUUGUGUGUUCUUGUAGGUUUGCUCCCACAGUCCAAAGACAUGCAGUCAGGUUAAUUAAAGAUACUUAUGAGUAUGAGUUGCUGUGUGAGUGGGUGUGUGAAUUUGCGUGUGUGUGUUUGCCCUGUGAUGGACUGGUGACUUGUCCUGGGUGUUUCCUGCCUUUCGCUCAGUGAAUCAGACCCACUGCAACCCUGAAUGUGAUAAAGUGGUUAUAAAACAGACAGUGAAUGAAUAAAUGAAUGAAUGAAUGAG
Trichomycterus rosablanca is the source of this 562-nucleotide long non-coding RNA. RefSeq lists it as uncharacterized. The record is from RefSeq and is a predicted model, not a curated record. The transcript is spliced from 2 exons. NCBI's taxonomy places the organism in Eukaryota, Metazoa, Chordata, Actinopteri, Siluriformes, Trichomycteridae.